Molecule: ribosomal RNA, 372 nt
Filed under: uncultured bacterium
Lineage: Bacteria
Description: bacterial SSU rRNA
Rfam family: Bacterial small subunit ribosomal RNA
Source: RNAcentral
AUACGUAGGGGGCAAGCGUUGUCCGGAUUUAUUGGGCGUAAAGGGUUCGCAGGUGGUCCUUUAAGUCAGAUGUGAAAGAUCACAGCUCAACUGUGGUAAGCAUUUGAAACUGAAGGACUUGAGUUAAGGAGAGGAAAGUGGAAUUCCUAGUGUAGCGGUGAAAUGCGUAGAUAUUAGGAGGAAUACCAGUGGCGAAGGCGACUUUCUGGACUUAUACUGACACUGAGGAACGAAAGCGUGGGGAGCAAACAGGAUUAGAUACCCUGGUAGUCCACGCCGUAAACGAUGAGUGCUAGGUGUUGGGGGUCAAACCUCGGUGCCGCAGCUAACGCAUUAAGCACUCCGCCUGGCGAGUACGUACGCAAGUAUGAA